Molecule: long non-coding RNA, 207 nt
Filed under: Physcomitrium patens
Lineage: Eukaryota; Viridiplantae; Streptophyta; Bryopsida; Funariales; Funariaceae
Description: long non-coding RNA (PPAT_LNC006479)
Source: RNAcentral
UAAACAUCCAAAAUCCUCUCAUCAUCUUGUAAUGUACCUAACUUGCAUAAUUGUCCUUCAAUAUCAUAUAAUCUUUUUCUUUCCUUUCUUUUAAAAUCAUCAACUUUCUUAUACAUAAUAUUUCCAUUCUCCAAUAUACCAAUAAAACUCGCAUCAAAGGCACCUUCAUCUCGCGAGAGUACCUCCUCUUUUGUACCUUCAUAAUCU